This is a long non-coding RNA of Dreissena polymorpha, 435 nucleotides long. RefSeq lists it as uncharacterized. Lineage: Eukaryota; Metazoa; Mollusca; Bivalvia; Myida; Dreissenidae. The transcript has 3 exons. The record is from RefSeq and is a predicted model, not a curated record.
UACCCUCUACCGGAACUUCCAUCAACGAUGGUUUGCAGGCGGCCGCGGCGACCAUCCAUACGUUCAACGUCACCGACAGCGAGGACGUUGUCACGUGCUCCACACGAGCGCCGGAAUCCACCUUUUUUGAAUUGGUAGCCGCAACUAGCCCUGCGUUCAGUAUCCGCGUGAAAGCAGGAGUGACGUUGGCUGCAGCUGUCAGUCCGUACGUCAUGAACGUUGAUUGCACAGAUGCCGUAACCGCCGUCAGUUCAACGUUUACCCAGCCAGUCCUUGAUAAACCGCCGACAUUUGUAUCUGGGAUUCCUGGGAAUUCCCCUGACGUCUCAGACGACAACGUGAUUGCGACGUCACUGGGAAAGUUCACAACUACGGACCCUGAUACCACGUGUUCUGUGACGUUACCUGUGACAACCGUUUAUGAGAUCAGAAAAG